This 497-nucleotide ribosomal RNA is filed under the name uncultured bacterium. RNAcentral's name for it is "partial 16S ribosomal RNA". It matches the Rfam family "Bacterial small subunit ribosomal RNA", at positions 28 to 507 of the family's 1533-position model. The record is from RNAcentral.
GAUGAACGCUGGCGGCGUGCCUAAUACAUGCAAGUCGAGCGAACAGACGAGGAGCUUGCUCCUCUGACGUUAGCGGCGGACGGGUGAGUAACACGUGGAUAACCUACCUAUAAGACUGGGAUAACUUCGGGAAACCGGAGCUAAUACCGGAUAAUAUAUUGAACCGCAUGGUUCAAUAGUGAAAGACGGUUUUGCUGUCACUUAUAGAUGGAUCCGCGCCGCAUUAGCUAGUUGGUAAGGUAACGGCUUACCAAGGCAGCGAUGCGUAGCCGACCUGAGAGGGUGAUCGGCCACACUGGAACUGAGCCACGGUCCAGCCUCCUACGGGAGGCAGCAGUAGGGAAUCCUCCGCAAUGGGCGAAAGCCUGACGGAGCAACGCCGCGUGAGUGAUGAAGGUCUUCGGAUCGUAAAACUCUGUUAUUAGGGAAGAACAAAUGUGUAAGUAACUAUGCACGUCUUGACGGUACCUAAUCAGAAAGCCACGGCUAACUACGUG